UGGGGAAUAUUGCACAAUGGGGGAAACCCUGAUGCAGCGACGCCGCGUGAGCGAAGAAGGUUUUCGAAUCGUAAAGCUCUGUCCUAUGAGAAGAUAAUGACGGUAUCAUAGGAGGAAGCCCCGGCUAAAUACGUGCCAGCAGCCGCGGUAAUACGUAUGGGGCGAGCGUUGUCCGGAAUUAUUGGGCGUAAAGGGUACGUAGGCGGUCUAUUAAUUCAGGUGUGAAAGCGUGAGGCUUAACCUCAUUAAGCACUUGAAACUGAUAGACUUGAGUGAAGGAGAGGAAAGGGGAAUUCCUAGUGUAGCGGUGAAAUGCGUAGAUAUUAGGAGGAAUACCGGUGGCGAAGGCGACUUUCUGGACUUUUACUGACGCUCAGGUACGAAAGCGUGGGGAGCAAACAGG
RNAcentral lists this ribosomal RNA (403 nucleotides) under Verrucomicrobiota bacterium. RNAcentral's name for it is "Verrucomicrobia bacterium partial 16S ribosomal RNA". It matches the Rfam family "Bacterial small subunit ribosomal RNA", at positions 355 to 776 of the family's 1533-position model. The record is from RNAcentral. Lineage: Bacteria; Pseudomonadati; Verrucomicrobiota.